This 659-nucleotide ribosomal RNA is filed under the name Eunotogramma laevis. RNAcentral describes it as "eukaryotic LSU rRNA". It matches the Rfam family "Eukaryotic large subunit ribosomal RNA", at positions 27 to 664 of the family's 3401-position model. Lineage: Eukaryota; Bacillariophyta; Thalassiosirophyceae; Anaulales; Anaulaceae. The record is from RNAcentral.
GUGGGAAUUAAGCAUAUAAUUAAGCGGAGGAAAAGAAACUAACUAGGAUUCCUCUAGUAAGGGCGACUGAAGCAGGAAGAGCUCACCUUGUGAAUCUGCGCCGCCGGUCGGGUGUCUUGCGACGCCGGGCGGGAGCGCCGAAUUGUGGUCUGUAGAAGCAUCGUCGGCCGCGGUCCCGGGCCAAGUCCCUUGGAACAGGGCAGCUGAGAGGGUGAGACUCCCGUUCUUGCCUGGGAAACGCGCGCCAUGGCAGGUGCCUUCGACGAGUCGAGUUGCUUGGGAUUGCAGCUCAAAGUGGGUGGUAAAUUCCAUCUAAAGCUAAAUAUCGGUGGGAGACCGAUAGCGUACAAGUACCGUGAGGGAAAGAUGCAAAGAACUUUGAAAAGAGAGUUAAAGAGUACCUGAAAUUGCUGAAAGGGAAGCGAAGGAAACCAGUGUCGUGCCGGGCCAUACUUCUCCUGCUGCUUGCGGCAGGGGCGCUGUGGUUGGGCGUGGGUCAGCAUCGGCUUGUACCUCGGGGCAAACGGUCGGCGGGUAGGUAGCCCCUUUGCGGGGUGAAUGCCCGUCGGUUCUGUCCUGGGGGAGGCCGAGGUCAGUCACGUUGGUGCUCGUGAUGCUGACGAAAUGGUUUUCUUUACCCCGUCUUGAAACCGGGAACC